AUAAGUAGGGAGCGAGCGUUGUCCGGAAUUACUGGGCGUAAAGGGCGCGUAGGCGGCGCUUCAAGUCGUCUGUCAAAUGGGAGGGCUUAACCCUUUUUCGCAGACGAAACUGGAGAGCUUGAGAAGCAGAGAGGCAAACAGAAUUCCUGGUGUAGCGGUGAAAUGCCAAGAUUUCAGGAAGAAUACCAGUGGCGAAGGCGGUGUGCUGGCUGCAUACUGACGCGGAAGAGCGAAAGCCAGGGAAGCGAACGGGAUUAGAUUCGCCUGUAGUCCUGGCAGUAAACGAUGUAUGCUGGGUGUGAGACUAGCGAUAGUUUCGUGACGAAGUUAACGCGAUAAGCAUACCGCCUGGGGAGUACGGUCGCAAGAUUGAAACUCAAAUGAAUUGACGGGG
This 394-nucleotide ribosomal RNA is filed under the name uncultured bacterium. Its description in RNAcentral is "partial 16S ribosomal RNA". It matches the Rfam family "Bacterial small subunit ribosomal RNA", at positions 523 to 918 of the family's 1533-position model. The record is from RNAcentral.